RNAcentral lists this ribosomal RNA (428 nucleotides) under uncultured bacterium. RNAcentral's name for it is "partial 16S ribosomal RNA". It matches the Rfam family "Bacterial small subunit ribosomal RNA", at positions 354 to 796 of the family's 1533-position model. The record is from RNAcentral.
GUAGGGAAUAUUGCACAAUGGAGGAAACUCUGAUGCAGCGACGCCGCGUGAGUGAUGAAGGCCUUCGGGUCGUAAAGCUCUGUCGCAGGGGAAUAACACAAUGAAGGUACCCUGUAAGAAAGGAUCGGCUAACUUCGUGCCAGCAGCCGCGGUAAGACGAGGGAUCCUAGCGUUGUUCGGAAUCAUUGGGCGUAAAGUGGAUGUAGGUGGCUAUGUAAGUCAGAUGUGAAAGCCUGGGGCUCAACCCCAGAAGUGCAUUUGAUACUGCGUAGCUUGAGUGUCGGAGAGGUUACUAGAAUUGUUGGUGUAGUGGUGAAAUACGUAGAUAUCAACAGGAAUACCGGAGGCGAAGGCGGGUAACUGGCCGAACACUGACACUGAGAUCCGAAAGCGUGGGGAUCAAACAGGAUUAGAUACCCGAGUAGUCC